AUUGAACGCUGGCGGCAGGCCUAACACAUGCAAGUCGAGCGAGCGGCGGACGGGUGAGUAAUGCCUGGGCAUAUGCCUUAGCGUGGGGGAUAACUAUUGGAAACGAUAGCUAAUACCGCAUACGCUAAGAUUAACCCAGGUGAGAUUAGCUAGGUGGUGAGGUAAGAGCUCACCAAGGCGACGAUCUAUAGCUGGUCUGAGAGGAUGAUCAGCCACACUGGAACGGAGACACGGUCCAGACUCCGACGGGAGGCAGCAGUGGGGAAUAUUGCACAAUGGGCGAAAGCCUGAUGCAGCCAUGCAGCGUGUAUGAAGAAGGCCUGCGGGUUGUAAAGUACUUUCAGUAGGGAGGCGUUACCUACAGAAGAAGCACCGGCUAACUCCGUGCCAGCAGCCGCGGUAAUUC
RNAcentral lists this ribosomal RNA (406 nucleotides) under uncultured bacterium. RNAcentral's name for it is "partial 16S ribosomal RNA". It matches the Rfam family "Bacterial small subunit ribosomal RNA", at positions 30 to 526 of the family's 1533-position model. The record is from RNAcentral.